AACUUAAAUGAAUUGACGGGACCCGCACAAGCGGUGGAUGAUGUGGUUUAAUUCGAUGCAACGCGAAAAACCUUACCCACCUUUGACAUGUACGGAACCCUUUAGAGAUAGAGGGGUGCUCGAAAGAGAGCCGUAACACAGGUGCUGCAUGGCUGUCGUCAGCUCGUGUCGUGAGAUGUUGGGUUAAGUCCCGCAACGAGCGCAACCCUUGUCAUUAGUUGCUACAUUCAGUUGGGCACUCUAAUGAGACUGCCGGUGACAAGCCGGAGGAAGGUGGGGAUGACGUCAAGUCCUCAUGGCCCUUAUAGGUGGGGCUACACACGUCAUACAAUGGCUGGUACAAAGGGUUGCCAACCCGCGAGGGGGAGCCAAUCCCAUAAAGCCAGUCGUAGUCCGGAUCGUAGUCUGCAACUCGACUACGUGAAGUCGGAAUCGCUAGUAAUCGUGGAUCAGAAUGUCACGGUGAAUACGUUCCCGGGUCUU
Molecule: ribosomal RNA, 483 nt
Filed under: uncultured Rhodoferax sp.
Lineage: Bacteria; Pseudomonadati; Pseudomonadota; Betaproteobacteria; Burkholderiales; Comamonadaceae
Description: bacterial SSU rRNA
Rfam family: Bacterial small subunit ribosomal RNA
Source: RNAcentral